This is a non-coding RNA of Oryza sativa Japonica Group (Japanese rice), 1296 nucleotides long. The record is from RefSeq and is a predicted model, not a curated record. Lineage: Eukaryota; Viridiplantae; Streptophyta; Magnoliopsida; Poales; Poaceae.
GCGCGUGGGCUUGGCGGCGACGCGGGGGCUGGCCGGCUGGCGGCGGCGCGGGGGCUGGCCGGCUGACGGCGGCGUGCCGCUUGGCGGCGGGGAUUCUUUUUUUUUUCUUUUUUUUUCAGAUCUGGAGCUAAAAGUUUGCCAAACACUUUUGAUGGGUCUGUAACUCCAAUAGGAGCUAGCUCCAACUGGAGUAGGAGUUUGGAGCUGGGAGUUGGAGUUUGGAGCCCUACCAAACGGGGCCGUAGUACUAUGCACUCGUAGUAGUAGUAAUGGCCAAGAACACCUAACACAGCAACAGUGCAAUGCACUCGUCGGUAAAAAGCUGAAAAGAGGCUGUGAAAGUUAGACCACCGUGGUGAUUAAUCAUCAGCUAAUGGUAGCAUCUUUGCAUCAAAGAGUAUAUCCAACAGUAUCCAACUAUCAGUAGUAUCCAUGGUGGUCGUGGACCUUUGCUCCCAAAAAAAGACAUUGGAUUCGCGUGUCUUUUGACCUUGCAAUAAAGAACACAACAACACCCGGGCUCGCUGGCCAAGACCAAGAGAGCAGAAGCAGAGACCUUGGGUUUUGGAGAGACCCAAAAAAAUGAGAUGGACGGACGGAUGGAUACCGAUGGAUUUGAUAGAAAGAAAGAGCUGUCUCUGCAGUGCACACACACAUGCAUCUUUUGGGAUCUCAAGAAGAUCCAUGCAUGCAAUGCAACGAUGCAGCAAAUGAGAUGCAUUUGCAUGUGCCAGUGGCAAGCAAGCAAAGGGGCAAAGCAUAGUCUACUCCAUCUCCAUGUGACAUUUGACAUUGGAAAUCAAGAUUCCAAGCUCCAUCACACACGCCCUGUGACUACGAGCAUGUCUGUCUGGACUGCCAGUCUUGUUCUUGUCGGGUGAGAUGUGAUUAAUACUUUAAUCAUCAUGUGAUGCAGUGGCCAAUCAUGGAUGGAUUGACUUGGACAUGCCAUGUGGUGGCUUGUGAAAAGAUGGCAGGAGCACCAAUCCAUCAAUUCACAACCCAAGGAAGAGCAAGAGGAGCAGUGAGUGAUGUACACUCUGCAAUAGCUGACCCUGGAGAAGCUGGGCCUUCUUCCAUGGUGGCAGCCAUUGCCGGAUGGGGAGCAAAGCAAUGCUGGUUUUGUCCUCGUGUACAUUAGGGAUGGGCAGUUUGUAAUAACGUGAUGGUACUGUGUCCAAAGCUGCAGAUUGGCCAUGGUAUUGGCAUGGCAUGGCAUGGCAUGGCUUGUGUGUGCCUAAUUUAAGAAGCGCAUGGAAAUCAAACCAAAAUUUGGCACGGUUCAAUUGUUCAAAA